GCCCGGGUGGUGUAGUGGCCCAUCAUAUCACCCUGUCACGGUGAUGACGCGGGUUCAAAUCCCGCCUCGGGCG
RNAcentral lists this transfer RNA (73 nucleotides) under Halococcus dombrowskii. Its description in RNAcentral is "tRNA-Asp". It matches the Rfam family "tRNA". Rfam says of the family: Transfer RNA (tRNA) molecules are approximately 80 nucleotides in length. Their secondary structure includes four short double-helical elements and three loops (D, anti-codon, and T loops). RNAcentral also lists the same sequence under 5 other names. Lineage: Archaea; Methanobacteriati; Methanobacteriota; Halobacteria; Halobacteriales; Halococcaceae. The record is from RNAcentral.